This 242-nucleotide ribosomal RNA is filed under the name uncultured Anoxybacillus sp. RNAcentral's name for it is "partial 16S ribosomal RNA". It matches the Rfam family "Bacterial small subunit ribosomal RNA", at positions 1140 to 1382 of the family's 1533-position model. The record is from RNAcentral. Lineage: Bacteria; Bacillati; Bacillota; Bacilli; Caryophanales; Anoxybacillaceae.
CUAAGGUGACUGCCGGCUAAAAGUCGGAGGAAGGUGGGGAGUGACGUCAAAUCAUCAUGCCCUUAUGACCUGGGCUACACACGUGCUACAAUGGGCGGUACAAAGGGUCGCGAACCCGCGAGGGGAGCCAAUCCCAAAAAGCCGCUCUCAGUUCGGAUUGCAGGCUGCAACUCGCCUGCAUGAAGCCGGAAUCGCUAGUAAUCGCGGAUCAGCAUGCCGCGGUGAAUACGUUCCCGGGCCUU